Molecule: unclassified non-coding RNA, 250 nt
Filed under: air metagenome
Description: partial contains small subunit ribosomal RNA, internal transcribed spacer 1, and 5.8S ribosomal RNA
Rfam family: Eukaryotic small subunit ribosomal RNA (bases 1-46)
Source: RNAcentral
AAGUCGUAACAAGGUCUCCGUUGGUGAACCAGCGGAGGGAUCAUUAUAGAGUGUAAAAACUCCCAAACCCACUGUGAACCUAUACCACUGUUGCUUCGGCGGACACGCCCCGGGCGCCCCCCCUCGCGGGGCGGUGCCCCGGAACCAGGCGCCCGCCGGAGACCUUCAAACCUCUGUAUUUUACUGAGAAUCUCUGAGUAUGAUUAUACAAAUCAACUUAAAACUUUCAACAACGGAUCUCUUGGCUCUG